RNAcentral lists this ribosomal RNA (233 nucleotides) under uncultured bacterium. RNAcentral's name for it is "partial 16S ribosomal RNA". It matches the Rfam family "Bacterial small subunit ribosomal RNA", at positions 15 to 237 of the family's 1533-position model. The record is from RNAcentral.
GAUCAUGGCUCAGGAUGAACGCUAGCUACAGGCUUAACACAUGCAAGUCGAGGGGCAGCAUGGUCUUAGCUUGCUAAGGCCGAUGGCGACCGGCGCACGGGUGAGUAACGCGUAUCCAACCUGCCCUUACACUCUUGGGACAGCCUUCUGAAAGGGAGAUUAAUACAAGAUGUUAUCAUGAGUAAGCAUUUUCGCAUGAUUAAAGGUUUACCGGUGUAAGAUGGGGAUGCGUU